AUUGAACGCUGGCGGCGUGCCUAACACAUGCAAGUCGAGCGGUAACAGGUGUAGCAAUACAUGCUGACGAGCGGCGGACGGGUGAGUAACGCUUGGGAAUCUGCCUAUUAGUGGGGGACAACCCGGGGAAACUCGGGCUAAUACCGCAUACGCACUACGGUGGAAAGCCCGGGGACCGCAAGGCCUGGCGCUAACAGAUGAGCCCAAGUCGGAUUAGCUAGUUGGUAGGUAACGGCCACCAAGGCGACGAUCCGUAACUGGUCUGAGAGGACGACCAGUCACACCGGAACUGAGACACGGUCCGGACUCCUACGGGAGGCAGCAGUGGGGAAUAUUGGACAAUGGGCGAAAGCCUGAUCCAGCGACGCCGCGUGGGUGAAGAAGGCCUGCGGGUUGUAAAGCCCUUUCAGUGGGGAAGAAAAGCCUCGAGCUAAUAUCUCGGGGUCUUGACGUAACCCAUAGAAGAAGCACCGGCUAACUCUGUGCC
This 487-nucleotide ribosomal RNA is filed under the name uncultured bacterium. Its description in RNAcentral is "bacterial SSU rRNA". It matches the Rfam family "Bacterial small subunit ribosomal RNA", at positions 29 to 509 of the family's 1533-position model. The record is from RNAcentral.